GCCUGGGUGGCGGAAUUGGUAGACGCAAGGGACUUAAAAUCCCUCGGGGUUCGCCCUGUGCGGGUUCGAUUCCCGCCCCAGGCA
This 84-nucleotide transfer RNA is filed under the name Deltaproteobacteria bacterium. RNAcentral describes it as "tRNA-Leu". It matches the Rfam family "tRNA". Rfam says of the family: Transfer RNA (tRNA) molecules are approximately 80 nucleotides in length. Their secondary structure includes four short double-helical elements and three loops (D, anti-codon, and T loops). The record is from RNAcentral. Lineage: Bacteria; Pseudomonadati; Myxococcota; Myxococcia. RNAcentral also lists the same sequence under 1 other name.